UACAGAGGGUGCAAACGUUGUUCGGAUUUAUUGGGUUUAAAGGGUGCGUAGGCGGCCUAUUAAGUCAGGGGUGAAAGACGGUGGCUCAACCAUCGCAGUGCCUUUGAUACUGAUAGGCUUGAAUACACUAGAGGUAGGCGGAAUGUGACAAGUAGCGGUGAAAUGCAUAGAUAUGUCACAGAACACCAAUUGCGAAGGCAGCUUACUAUGGUGUCAUUGACGCUGAGGCACGAAAGCGUGGGGAUCAAACAGG
RNAcentral lists this ribosomal RNA (253 nucleotides) under uncultured bacterium. RNAcentral describes it as "partial 16S ribosomal RNA". It matches the Rfam family "Bacterial small subunit ribosomal RNA", at positions 524 to 776 of the family's 1533-position model. The record is from RNAcentral.